RNAcentral lists this ribosomal RNA (497 nucleotides) under uncultured bacterium. RNAcentral's name for it is "partial 16S ribosomal RNA". It matches the Rfam family "Bacterial small subunit ribosomal RNA", at positions 28 to 507 of the family's 1533-position model. The record is from RNAcentral.
GACGAACGCUGGCGGCGUGCCUAAUACAUGCAAGUAGAACGCUGAAGAGAGGAGCUUACUCUUCUUGGAUGAGUUGCGAACGGGUGAGUAACGCGUAGGUAACCUGCCUUGUAGCGGGGGAUAACUAUUGGAGACGAUAGCUAAUACCGCAUAACAAUGGAUGACACAUGUCAUUUAUUUGAAAGGGGCAAUUGCUCCACUACAAGAUGGACCUGCGUUGUAUUAGCUAGUAGGUGAGGUAAUGGCUCACCUAGGCGACGAUACAUAGCCGACCUGAGAGGGUGAUCGGCCACACUGGGACUGAGACACGGCCCAGACUCCUACGGGAGGCAGCAGUAGGGAAUCUUCGGCAAUGGGGGCAACCCUGACCGAGCAACGCCGCGUGAGUGAAGAAGGGUUUCGGAUCGUAAAGCUCUGUUGUAAGUCAAGAACGGGUGUGAGAGUGGAAAGUUCACACUGUGACGGUAGCUUACCAGAAAGGGACGGCUAACUACGUG